UUCCUGUGUUCACCGGAGCAGCACUUUUGAUUUCCUUCAAGAACUUUUCCUUGCAUUCACAGCUUGGCUGUCUGUUGCAAGAAGGUUAGCUUCUCGCCUGGUCACCUGAACUCACCUGUCC
Sapajus apella (tufted capuchin) is the source of this 121-nucleotide long non-coding RNA. RefSeq lists it as uncharacterized. Lineage: Eukaryota; Metazoa; Chordata; Mammalia; Primates; Cebidae. The record is from RefSeq and is a predicted model, not a curated record. The transcript is spliced from 3 exons.